UGCGUAGGUGGUCGGGUAAGUCUGAUGUGAAAUCUCCGAGCUUAACUCGGAAACUGCAUCGGAUACUAUUCGGCUGGAGGGUUGGGAGGGGGGACUGGAAUACUUGGUGUAGCAGUGAAAUGCGUAGAUAUCAAGUGGAACACCAGUGGCGAAGGCGAGUCCCUGGACAACUCCUGACACUGAGGCACGAAAGGCUAGGGAAGCAAACA
This 209-nucleotide ribosomal RNA is filed under the name uncultured bacterium. Its description in RNAcentral is "partial 16S ribosomal RNA". It matches the Rfam family "Bacterial small subunit ribosomal RNA", at positions 568 to 774 of the family's 1533-position model. The record is from RNAcentral.